This 263-nucleotide ribosomal RNA is filed under the name uncultured archaeon. Its description in RNAcentral is "partial 16S ribosomal RNA". It matches the Rfam family "Archaeal small subunit ribosomal RNA", at positions 748 to 1008 of the family's 1478-position model. The record is from RNAcentral.
AGGGUGUAAACGCUGCAGACUUGGUGUUGGAGGCCCUUUGGGGGGCAUUCAGUGCCGGAGAGAAGUUGUUAAGUCUGCUACUUGGGGAGUACGUCCGCAAGGAUGAAACUUAAAGGAAUUGGCGGGGGGAGCACCGCAACGGGAGGAGCGUGCGGUUUAAUUGGAUUCAACACCGUAAAACUCACCAGGGAAGACUGUUACAUGAAGGCCGAGAUGAAGACUCUGCUAGAUUUUCAGAGAGGAGGUGCAUGGCGUCAGUGACU